ACAACAAUAAUGGAGCCGAACAUGAUGCCU
This 30-nucleotide non-coding RNA is filed under the name Rattus norvegicus (Norway rat). The record is from RNAcentral. Lineage: Eukaryota; Metazoa; Chordata; Mammalia; Rodentia; Muridae.